CCUCUCUAUUCUCGUACCGUCUUCGUUCUUUCAUCGGACUCUCCGAAUCUUCUCUGCUGAAAUCCCUAAACCCUUCUUCUCCUCCCAAUUCUUCAUCCUCUUCCUCUUCUUCUUCCUCUCCACUGAAUUUCUCAUCUCCUUGCUCUACACCAUCGUUUCUCGUCGCCCAAUUCGACCUAACUCGCUUCGCCGAAGCUGUAUUCGUCGUCGUCGUCGCCG
Long non-coding RNA from Arabidopsis thaliana (thale cress), 219 nucleotides. RefSeq annotates it as other RNA. The transcript has a single exon. The record is from RefSeq. Lineage: Eukaryota; Viridiplantae; Streptophyta; Magnoliopsida; Brassicales; Brassicaceae.